ACACUUCAAUCUGCUGGAAUAUUGUGUACCAUAAAGAUGGGGUUGCCUAGCACAGCUUUCCACUGUUUGAGGAGGAAACAAAAUUAUUUUGCAAAUUGAACUUUAGCCCAUUAGUUAAGCCACUUUAGAACAGCCAUGGGGCAAGAAAGAUGAGGAUACCCUCAAGAUUGUAGAGCACAAGGCAAUGGACUGAAAUCCUGAAGGGAACAGAAGCAUUCCUAGUUUGCUAAAGCCAAGUGGAGCAGCCUUCCAUUUGCAGUCUUCAGGUGACAGACCCAUGCAACUUGGAACAUUCUGAGGCCUCCACUGUCAGAAAAGCAAUACAGAUGCACACAAGGUCUUUGUUUAUAUUGUGGGACUUUGGAACAGUUUGUACUAGCUUGCCUCAUCAUGCUUUCCUGCCCUGAAUCAACUGUGAAGUGUUGAAGCUAUGGGCUGAAGUGUUGCAAGUCAGUUCCCAGCUUUGCAAGAUCUGUUUGUUGGGAAACAGUAGCCCUCCCCUACAUGAGCUCAGAGUUGAGGAUCUGACAAGGGGAGUUCAGAUAUAGAAUGCUCAGCAAUGACAUUUGAUAAUACCGGUUACUCUUUGCUCUCAAACUGUAUCUGUAAUAAAACUUAAAGCCCUGGU
Molecule: non-coding RNA, 628 nt
Organism: Python bivittatus (Burmese python)
Lineage: Eukaryota; Metazoa; Chordata; Lepidosauria; Squamata; Pythonidae
Source: RefSeq, a predicted model, not a curated record